This is a long non-coding RNA of Carya illinoinensis, 566 nucleotides long. RefSeq lists it as uncharacterized. The record is from RefSeq and is a predicted model, not a curated record. The transcript has 2 exons. NCBI's taxonomy places the organism in Eukaryota, Viridiplantae, Streptophyta, Magnoliopsida, Fagales, Juglandaceae.
UCUACCUGCUUCCUCUCUCUCUUCCUGUUCCUGCUUCCCCUUCCCCUUUCCGAUUUCUUUAGAUUCUUUUUAUUUUUCAUCAGUCGCUUCCUGCACCCAGUGAAUCAACACUUCUCAUGGCCUCCUUGUCGACACUAGUGUUUCCCCAUUUCCAGAAUAUACUCUCUCUCUCUCUCUCUCUCUCUCUCUUUAACAAUGUCAAAUUUGAACUUCAAAAAGGGAAGAUAAAAUCUUCGAAAGAGAAAUUGAAGUUCAGAAAAGGGAAUGCAACUUGUACAAAUGUCAAGACUAUUACAAAACCAAGAGGAUGAGCUUAGAAGGCAAAAGGUGGAGAAGAGGUGUUCAUGGCUUGCUUUGUACAUGUACUGGAGAUUGAUUAUGAUAUUUAUUUUCAACUACUUUGGCAACACUAGAGAGCUCUCUCAAAAGGGUCUUCUGCCUUAGUAUUGUAAAUGUAAAGGCAAUGCUAGCAACUUAGUCAUGAAGUAGGGAUAUUUUGUACUUGAUAAUGUUUGGUUGUAAACAUUACUCUCUUAUAUGAAUAUUGAAUGAGUAGUUUCAGUUUU